GCCUGGGUGGCUCAGUCGGUUGAGCGUCCGACUUCGGCUCAGGUCAUGAUCUUACAGUUUGUGGGUUUGAGCCCCGCAUCAGGCU
RNAcentral lists this transfer RNA (85 nucleotides) under Felis catus (domestic cat). It matches the Rfam family "tRNA". From Rfam's summary of the family: Transfer RNA (tRNA) molecules are approximately 80 nucleotides in length. Lineage: Eukaryota; Metazoa; Chordata; Mammalia; Carnivora; Felidae. The record is from Rfam by way of RNAcentral.